AGUGGACGCUGGCGGUAGGCCUAACACAUGCAAGUCGAACGGCAGCACAGUAAGAGCUUGCUCUUACGGGUGGCGAGUGGCGGACGGGUGAGGAAUACAUCGGAAUCUACUUUUUCGUGGGGGAUAACGUAGGGAAACUUACGCUAAUACCGCAUACGACCUACGGGUGAAAGCAGGGGAUCUUCGGCCCUUGCGCGAUUGAAUGAGCCGAUGUCGGAUUAGCUAGUUGGCGGGGUAAAGGCCCACCAAGGCGACGAUCCGUAGCUGGUCUGAGAGGAUGAUCAGCCACACUGGAACUGAGACACGGUCCAGACUCCUACGGGAGGCAGCAGUGGGGAAUAUUGGACAAUGGGCGCAAGCCUGAUCCAGCCAUACCGCGUGGGUGAAGAAGGCCUUCGGGUUGUAAAGCCCUUUUGUUGGGAAAGAAAAGCAGCAGGUUAAUACCCCGCUGUUCUGACGGUACCCAAAGAAUAAGCACCGGCUAACUUCGUG
This 492-nucleotide ribosomal RNA is filed under the name uncultured bacterium. RNAcentral's name for it is "partial 16S ribosomal RNA". It matches the Rfam family "Bacterial small subunit ribosomal RNA", at positions 29 to 507 of the family's 1533-position model. The record is from RNAcentral.